CAUUGUCGAUCCUGCAAGCAGAACGACCAGAGA
Molecule: ribosomal RNA, 33 nt
Filed under: Myrtus communis
Lineage: Eukaryota; Viridiplantae; Streptophyta; Magnoliopsida; Myrtales; Myrtaceae
Also listed under: 1 other name
Description: partial 18S ribosomal RNA
Source: RNAcentral